Wyeomyia smithii (pitcher-plant mosquito) is the source of this 1834-nucleotide long non-coding RNA. RefSeq lists it as uncharacterized. The record is from RefSeq and is a predicted model, not a curated record. The transcript has 3 exons. NCBI's taxonomy places the organism in Eukaryota, Metazoa, Arthropoda, Insecta, Diptera, Culicidae.
CUGGCAGACGCGGUGCGACUCUCAACGAUGACGACGACGACGACGACGACGACGACGACGACGACGACGACGACGACGACGACGACGACGACGACGACGACGACGACGACGACGACGACGAAGACGACGCCUGGUUCGUUAGUGUUUGGACGCUCAGCUGAGCAGCAUCGAAUCGUUACGUUAACUAUAACUGUGUGAAAAGGAGGCAAAAAUUGAAUUAUGAGUAGCAAUUGCCUUUACUUGACUGGGGCCUGUUCGAGCCGGUGCGGUGUGGUGUGGAGUUGGCAUCAUAAAGUGAGAGAUAUUCGCUAGGAAAAGUGGGAAUUCUCUGAAUCAGUUUAGUGGAUAAUAGCAGGAAAAAAAAUCGAAAGCGGUGGGGGAAUGUCGAGAACCUUGAAGGAGGGCCACCGCUGAUUGACCAAUGAUGGUUGGUUAAAGUCAUAAUCAACUGAGUUACAUUGAACUUUGCUACUGCGCGGAACUUGCCGUCGUCAUCGUCGUUAUCACCAUCGCAACUGCAGAGAAGGAGAACGAGGAGAGCUAUGACUGAUAAUGCAGCAACAGAAAAUCGCAACUAUAGGCUUGUUCUAGGAAGGACCAUUAUUGCGGAAACGCAGUGAAUGGCGAAGAAACACCCACACUAUCAGAAAAGUAUCACAGCAAAGCACAAAGGAGCAGAUUCAUAGAUUUGCAAAAAUUUAGCAGUAACAAACUACCCGAGCAAAACGCUCAAGUAACUCCCACUCGUGGCUGUGACGCUAUGGAAACGCAGACUAUUUCUACUACACAACAGAAGAUAAUUACCUCUAAUUGCCUUCGCCGUGCGAAAUCCGAAAUGCAAAAUCGGAGAAGAAAUUUGUUGUUAUUCCGCCUGCAGUAGAUGAUUGCAAAAUAAAAAGGCUGAUGACGAACGUAAAAUAUUUCCAGCGAAUCUUUUCUGCCUGAUUGAUUAUCAGUAAAAAAAGAAAAAUGUGUAGGUGCGAGUAUUUCACUGUUCAAAUCAGAGAUUACUGGAUAGGGUGGAACGACAGUAAAACCUCUAGUGAGUGAUCACGUUAUUGAUAAUGUUGGUGGAUAACGAGUACAGAAUUACUCAGUGUAUCGUCAUUGCGCUGAAGUAUUGGGGCUGUAAUUGAGGUGUUAUGGAAUAAUUGCUCGAAAGGUUCAAGUGUUAACCUGGCUUGCUAAUACAGUGAUAUUCAGUCCUCGUAUUGUUUCAUUUUAAUUGAAUUGAAGGCAAAAAUAGUGUUGGAUGAGCAAAUGAGGUACAAACACCUCAAACAGAAAAAUACCCUGAAGACAUAUUUAUCUCAUUUGCUAAAUUUGUGUUGCUGCGAAUUUCGUUUCAAGAAUUCCUGCUUGCAUUCAGGAAAAGUGUUUAAUAUCAAUAAAGGCCUCAAGCAUUGACGACCGACGUGACGAAGCAGGUGUCAAAGCCAUUGCUAAAACAAAUGAACACCAAUCAAACCACCUUUCGUCAGAGAGAUAAUCAUCACCCCAAGCUUUAUCCCCACUCCUCAUCUAGGUACCUACCGGUGUUUGAUGGCACGCUUGUAGCCAAUAUCGUGAAUGAAACUUUCGCUAUGAAGCAAUUUCGGUUCCUCCUGGAAGGUGACGCUGCUCUUGCGGCAACGCCGUACAGCAGCUAUCGCUCCCGUUCCACCCGCUUCCUGGGUCGACGUGAAAGACUUAGAGGCGUCUCCAUUGGAUUGUUUCAAUGCACUCAGUCGCCUGUGGGACGACUCCAGACUGGCUGCCCCACCGGAGUUGGCACGGAUACGCAGCUGUUCGACCGUUGCCGGAGGCUUGUGAGGAAGCUUCGCUUCAAACUGGU